AGAAUCAACGCUGGCGGCGUGCCUAACACAUGCAAGUCGAACGAGAAGGUGGAGCAAUCCACGAGUAAAGUGGCGCACGGGUGAGUAACACGUGACUAACCUACCCUUGAGUGGGGGAUAACCUAGGGAAACCUGGGCUAAUACCGCAUAAUACCUACGGGUCAAAGGAGCAAUUCGCUUAAGCGAGGGGGUCGCGGCCGAUUAGUUAGUUGGCGGGGUAAUGGCCCACCAAGACGAUGAUCGGUAUCCGGCCUGAGAGGGCGCACGGACACACUGGAACUGAAACACGGUCCAGACUCCUACGGGAGGCAGCAGUGGGGAAUUUUGCGCAAUGGGGGAAACCCUGACGCAGCAACGCCGCGUGGAGGAUGAAGUCCCUUGGGAUGUAAACUCCUUUCGAUCGGGACGAUUAUGACGGUACCGGAAGAAGAAGCCCCGGCUAACUUCGCGCCAGCAGCCGC
This 461-nucleotide ribosomal RNA is filed under the name uncultured bacterium. RNAcentral describes it as "SSU rRNA". It matches the Rfam family "Bacterial small subunit ribosomal RNA", at positions 26 to 518 of the family's 1533-position model. The record is from RNAcentral.